AUAAGACGAGAAGACCCUGUGGAGCUUUAAUUAAUCGACCCAAAGAGACCUUAAUAACCAACCGACAGGAACAACAGACCUCUGCCAUGGGCCGACAAUUUAGGUUGGGGUGACCUCGGAGAAUAAAACAACCUCCGAGUGAUUUAAAUCUAGACUAACCAGUCGAAAGUAUUACAUCACUUAUUGAUCCNAAAGCUUGAUCAACGGAACAAGUUACCCCAGGGAUAACAGCGCAAUCCUAUUUC
This 245-nucleotide ribosomal RNA is filed under the name Panthera tigris (tiger). RNAcentral's name for it is "partial 16S ribosomal RNA". The record is from RNAcentral. Lineage: Eukaryota; Metazoa; Chordata; Mammalia; Carnivora; Felidae.